GGAACCUGCACACGUUGCGGUGCAACAAUGGUCAAAGA
RNAcentral lists this non-coding RNA (38 nucleotides) under bovine gut metagenome. RNAcentral's name for it is "Selenocysteine insertion sequence 4". It matches the Rfam family "Selenocysteine insertion sequence 4". The record is from RNAcentral.